RNAcentral lists this ribosomal RNA (556 nucleotides) under Trichoderma asperellum. RNAcentral describes it as "eukaryotic LSU rRNA". The stretch from base 166 to 319 matches the Rfam family "5.8S ribosomal RNA". The record is from RNAcentral. Lineage: Eukaryota; Fungi; Ascomycota; Sordariomycetes; Hypocreales; Hypocreaceae.
AACCCAAUGUGAACGUUACCAAACUGUUGCCUCGGCGGGGUCACGCCCCGGGUGCGUCGCAGCCCCGGAACCAGGCGCCCGCCGGAGGAACCAACCAAACUCUUUCUGUAGUCCCCUCGCGGACGUAUUUCUUACAGCUCUGAGCAAAAAUUCAAAAUGAAUCAAAACUUUCAACAACGGAUCUCUUGGUUCUGGCAUCGAUGAAGAACGCAGCGAAAUGCGAUAAGUAAUGUGAAUUGCAGAAUUCAGUGAAUCAUCGAAUCUUUGAACGCACAUUGCGCCCGCCAGUAUUCUGGCGGGCAUGCCUGUCCGAGCGUCAUUUCAACCCUCGAACCCCUCCGGGGGAUCGGCGUUGGGGAUCGGGACCCCUCACACGGGUGCCGGCCCCGAAAUACAGUGGCGGUCUCGCCGCAGCCUCUCCUGCGCAGUAGUUUGCACAACUCGCACCGGGAGCGCGGCGCGUCCACGUCCGUAAAACACCCAACUUUCUGAAAUGUUGACCUCGGAUCAGGUAGGAAUACCCGCUGAACUUAAGCAUAUCAAUAAGGCGGAGGAA